Molecule: ribosomal RNA, 123 nt
Filed under: Solanum tuberosum (potato)
Lineage: Eukaryota; Viridiplantae; Streptophyta; Magnoliopsida; Solanales; Solanaceae
Source: RNAcentral
UGAUAUGAUCAUACCAAUGUUAACUCUGGAUCCCAUCAGAACUCUGAAGUUAAUCGUGCUUGGGUGAGACUCUAGAGUGGUACAAUGACAGAUGAUACUUUGGAAGUCCUCAUGUUGUAUCUC